This 75-nucleotide transfer RNA is filed under the name compost metagenome. RNAcentral describes it as "tRNA-Trp". It matches the Rfam family "tRNA". Rfam says of the family: Transfer RNA (tRNA) molecules are approximately 80 nucleotides in length. Their secondary structure includes four short double-helical elements and three loops (D, anti-codon, and T loops). Further hydrogen bonds mediate the characteristic L-shaped molecular structure. tRNAs have two regions of fundamental functional importance: the anti-codon, which is responsible for specific mRNA codon recognition, and the 3' end, to which the tRNAs corresponding amino acid is attached (by aminoacyl-tRNA synthetases). tRNAs cope with the degeneracy of the genetic code in two manners: having more than one tRNA (with a specific anti-codon) for a particular amino acid; and 'wobble' base-pairing, i.e. permitting non-standard base-pairing at the 3rd anti-codon position. The record is from RNAcentral.
GGGUCCCUGUUCUAAUGGCAGGAUGCCGGUCUCCAAAACCGUGCAGUCGUGGUUCGAAUCCAUGGGGGCUUGCCA